GAGUUUGAUCCUGGCUCACGCACGAACGCUGGCGGCAGGCUUAACACAUGCAAGUCGAACGAUCCUUCGGGAUAGUGGCAGACGGGUGCGUAACACGUGGGAACCUACCCUAAGGUACGGAAUAACUCAGGGAAACUUGUGCUAAUACCGUAUAUGUCUUCGGAUGAAAGAUUUAUCGCCUUAGGAUGGGCCCGCGGCUGAUUAGCUAGUUGGUGAGGUAAAAGCUUACCAAGGCGACGAUCAGUAGCUGGUCUGAGAGGAUGAUCAGCCACACUGGAACUGAGACACGGUCCAGACUCCUACGGGAGGCAGCAGUGAGGAAUAUUGGACAAUGGGGGCAACCCUGAUCCAGCCAUGCCGCGUGAGUGAUGAAGGCCUUAGGGUUGUAAAACUCUUUCGCUAGUGAAGAUAAUGACGGUAACUAGUAAAGAAGCCCCGGCUAAUUUCGUGCCAGCAGCCGCGGUAAUACGAAAGGGGCUAGCGUUGUUCGGAAUUACUGGGCGUAAAGCGCGCGUAGGCGGAUUGACAAGUUGGGGGUGAAAUCCCGGGGCU
This 552-nucleotide ribosomal RNA is filed under the name uncultured Parvularcula sp. RNAcentral describes it as "bacterial SSU rRNA". It matches the Rfam family "Bacterial small subunit ribosomal RNA", at positions 9 to 609 of the family's 1533-position model. Lineage: Bacteria; Pseudomonadati; Pseudomonadota; Alphaproteobacteria; Parvularculales; Parvularculaceae. The record is from RNAcentral.